GGCCGCCGCCCCCCAAGGGGCAGGGCGUGCUGCUUGAGGUGGUCCUGGGCUGGCGCUGCUUUCGGGGGUACUGGCUCGGGUCCUUUACACCAGGGGUUUUCCAGUUCCUGGAAAAAAACUCGUGUUUUGGGGGUGUGGGAGAUGAGUGUGAGGCUGUACGAGAGCCGUGCUGUGCAGCAGACAGGCUGUGCCGGCGUGUGAAACAACAGCUGCAGGCUUCAGGGACAAAAACUAGGGGAAAAGAGGAGCUGAGCAUUCAAUUAACUAUGAGGUAGAAAAUCAGUAGAAAACUUUCCCUGAGAGGAAAAUGAGUUGAUACGUGCAAACUGGACUCUUAUUAGGAAGGAGGAGUAGCUACUUCCUUGAGGCAGCUUAGUUUGUGGCCUUUAGCAUGGGAAGGCUUCAUUGGGGUGUGAAGAGUUACAAUGUAUUACAAAGUCAAUCUCCACAGCCUUUGAUAUCCUGUACGCGUGUUACAGUAGAAGAAAAACAUUGAAAAAAAGUAACUGCAUGUGCUCAUGGCAGCUGCUCUGCUUCUUUAGAAACUAUUCAAGUGCUGAUACUUAGGAAAGCAGGUCUAUAUUUCACUUAUUUCCAGAAGAAAAUCUCAAGUUCAGAGCAGCAAGUCAGACAAGGGUUUGUCAUCUUUGAGAUUUCCCCCUUAAGAAGUGGGAUUAGAUUUCCAAGAGACUUUUGCACCUACAAAUAUGUACAGACUAAGAACUGACAGAAGGCACUACUUCCAGAUGCAUUUCCUCAGUCUUGCAGGUGCCAAUGCUAAAGGAUAAUUCCAGAGUUUCACUUCUGGAAAUAACUUGAAACUUGUAACUCAAAGGAGAAGAAUAUGAGGUACAAGCAGUUACUUGUUGAGGAGGAGAAUAAAGCCUAGAACUAUUUUUAUUGACUACUUCCCACUUUGAUUGCACCUGAUGCCUCUCUCUGAUUUUUUUGAAACAUUCAUCUGAGCUCAGAUGCCUGUGAAAUGUUACAUCUCUGGACUUUUCAUUUCAGCCCUUCUAAACUCCACACCCACUUCUUCUGCUGACAUGUUGAACACCUGUGUGAGAUGGUGCUUUUGAAAAUGGGUACCAGAAUAAUAUUGUCCAAUGUUUUGUGGCCCCACUGAAGACCCUGUGACUUCCAAGAAACUCCAGAGAAAUUGAUUCUGAUCCCCAUCCUGCUAAGCCUCAGUGCAGUGCAAUGUACUUAACUCCAAGAGCCGCGACUGACAAGCCUUGGUUGCUGCCACUUGCUGCCUUUCGUCUGGAUCCAGUGUUUCCAGUCAGCCAGCUUGAAUUAAUUUACCAUUGGAAACAAGGAGGCCCCAUUCCUACAGAUUUAUCUCUCUUCCAAAAUGAAGCACCCAUCACCUACUGAUAAUGGAGAAAGAGAGGCUGUGAUCCUGCAGCUGUGAGACCAUGCAGAAAUGGUAGGAGAGACUCAGAAGUGUUUAGUUCCCCAUUAAGAAGCUGAGAGAGGGAGUUUUUCAGUGCAGAGCAUUAGCUAUAAAGAGACUUUGAUCUGUGAUUAGAGAAACCGACCCGUCUUGUAUCUGUUCUUUGUAAAAUAGGCAAUGAAAAGGAGUAUAUUCUUGCUAUGUAGGAUUGUAGCCAAACUUGCUUAUUAACUACUCCUAGAGGUGAAGAACUUAACUGUUGACUAACUACUUGAGCCAGAAAGCACAGUGGUAUUUGUGUAUUUUUUUUUUUUUGUUCUUUGUUUCAAACAUGUUCUCUGCUUUUCAUUGUGUGGGUUUUUUUGUUUCUUUGUUUGUUUUGAGAGAGAGACAAUAGCAAUACAUGCCCAUGGAAGAACUGACAAUGUAUAGCCUUGUACACUGUAUCUUGGCAGACAAGUAGGUGCAGCUCUGGCAUCUCAUUUUUUGUUCUCUAGACCGAUACUGACAGUAAACAAAAGAAAUGCUGUGUGCUAGAAUUUUUUUUAUUCCUACUUUUGCCAAGACCAUCUUACUUAAUGCUAUUGUUACUAAAAAUUUUGGCACAGAGAGAGCACAUAAGAUAUACCCUCUUCACCUUGUAUUUUAACUAAUAAGCUCAUUUAUUCUUCUUUAAAAUGGCUAUUUUGGAAAUGCUGUUAUUGUUUAAAACAUCUUCCCUUUUCUAGAAUAAGGGCAUAGUUUGUGUGAACAAAAAGCUCAGAAUACAAACAGCUGUUUUAAUGUGAAGCUAGAGAAAAAUAAUGCUAAUUCCAUACAGUAGUAAAGAUUUCAGAGCUUCAGUCUCAUUAUAGCAAUUCGUUUGGUCUGAUUUUAAUGUACUGUUUGCCCUAGAAAUUUCAAGACUCUAGUUUCUCCUAGACUUUUUUUUUUUUUUGAGAGAGAGAGUCUAAAAGACCCCUUGUACCUAAGAUUUAAUUCUUAAACUUUAUUUUAUAGCACAUGAGCAAGUGAACAUGGGAAAUGGAUUAGAAUUCUUCAAGAAGAUCUAAGAUGGUACUUUACAUGGCUUCAAAGAACCUAUGAAGUAACUUAAGAAUUUCUCUGUUGCUCUAGAUAGAAAUUUUGAUGUGAUAACACUGUUCUUCAAAAACUAACUUCAGACCCAUACACCGUGGGGAGUAUAGGGAAGAUUUGGAAUCCAAACCUUUAGUUUUCAAUACAGUCAGUUAGUAAACUGUCCCCAUUAUUUCUUUGCAUCUAAUCCUUCUGUUCUCUUGCUAUCUUUUUUGGCAUUCUCUAGGCAUCUCUUUUCACUUAGAAUCCACAAUCUAGAACACUCUUUUUGUAAAUUAUUCUCAAACUUAUUUCUGAAGGAAGAAUUAAAAUCUGUUCUUUAACUAACUGCCUUCUGCUUAGGCUGCCUGUCCAGCAGGUGAGAAAAUUUUCUCCCAAACCUGAAGAGUGAUGGAAUCAGAAGACUACAAGCUGUCCUGGAAAGUAGGAAUUCAGCCCCUUUUUACUCCUGUGGAAGCUGCACCAGCCUGCAGGUUGGAAAAAAAUCGUUGAUCAGUAAACCCAAGAGAGAUCAUCAGGAGGGACUAAACGUUUGAGGAAUGAAGUGAGCAUCUGUGAUCCAAAAGCCAAAGCCCACCAGAAGAGAAUGGACUGAAUGAUCAGAGAGUCUCCCAGAAAACUUGGUAUGUAAUAAAUAAAUAAAUGAACAACCAUCACCCCAACAACAAAAAACACAACCAAGAAAGCCAAAUUUAAUUACGCUUCUAGAAUUCUAACUGAUCCAAUUUCCUAGAAGACUCAUCGCACACUUGAAGAACAUCUGGAAAUUCUAUUUUACGUUUAACGUGGCUUCUGUCAUUCUUAGAAUGAAAAGGCAAGCUGAAAGUAGGUCUCCAUUCUUAAUUCCUUCUGCAGAAGUACACGUCAGCAGCUGGAGCUACUUUACAUAGGAUUUAAACAACAGUAAACAAAAACAGAUUAGAAAGGCUGCUAAAGCCUCAACCACAAUGCUCAGUUUAGCAUCAAUUUUACAAUCUGCCUACCACUGUCUAAGACCCAAAGGGGCAGGAUUUCGGCUUGAAAAGCUGGCUAACUGCAAUGCCUGGAGAAUCUGAACAUUUCACAGUCACAGGGAAGUAUAAUCCUUAAUCUGUAAAUGAAGAACUACUGCCCCAAAAGUCACUGCGAAUUGAAUACGGUUUUCAGGUCCCCAGGAUGGGAGCAGGGUCUCCUUCUUGCCAGCAUCGUUCACAGUUUAAAUAAUGACUUGCUUGCAGGUGCUUAUUGAGGAGUAGAAGUCACUCAGAACAGAGGCAUCCACUAGACCCAGAGCAGGACCCAUGUACUAGGCUGUGGCUGCUCAGGCACUUAUACAAGUAUGCUCUGAUCAGCAGCACGAACCACAAAUAGUGCCCAGCAAUUGGCGAGUGGCAGAUGCCUGAAUCCCAUGUUUUUCAUCUCAGUUCAAUCUCCUUGACUCAUGCAUCCUGUCUACGCUAAUGUUAGUUUCCUGAUUGCAGUGUGUCUGCAGCUUUGGAGUGUCAACAAGUGCCUGAGCCAUCCCAGAAAGCUUGCUCCUCCUCUCUGGUCUUCAGUUUUGCUUGGUUUUAAUGGCUCUCUCAAAGCUACCUUGUUUUGCCAAUCUACAUCUGGACUCUUACACUGGAAUGGCAGUACACUUUCUCCUCUAUUUUUAAAAUAAUUAUUUUGAUGGUCCAGAAUAUUCUGCUUUGACAUCUCAGAAGAAUAUGAGCUACUAGCCACUAAGUUAUACUCACCUGCCAUAUUCAUUACACUACCACAUUCUCCCACUUGAAUGAAACACCCCAAACAGGAAGAUCUGACCUAGAAUAGACUGUUGCUUGUUUGGGAGGUGCUCGUGUCUUCAUUUCCCCUAUAAUCUGAAAUUCUCCUGUCCCAAUUGUUGUCACAUUCUAGAUAGCGUAGUAGACUUCCAUUAAGACCAUUUAUGAGUUGCAUUUUUCUUGCAAACUCAUUAACAGCAUUCACUAGGGAUAAAAAAUAGUUGUCUUUUUCUUCUCCAUUUAAAGUAUACAGCUAAUACAAAACUCAAAUUAGGAUCACUACUACUUAUAAAACAAAAACAAAAUAGCACAGCAAGAAGCAAAGUAAAAGUACGUGACAGAGUUGUAAAAGUGCAUUAUUAAACUACUCGUCAGAACUUUAGAUGCAUUCCCUUCCACCUUCAGCUAUUUACUACAGAGCCCUUUUCCUUACCAUUAUUUCAAAUAUUUGCCUCCAAGCCUUGUGAUGGGGCACUACUCUCACCCGCAUUUUACAAAAGAUGGAACCAACAAGCUCCAUGCAGCCAAGACUCCCGAGUCCCAGCACAACACUACUUUCUGCUCUGGAUCAUUUUGAUAUGUUUUGUUUGUUUGUUUGUUUGUUUUUCCCCCAGUAAGCUUAUGUGGAACUAUGAACCUAAAGUUGCAAUUAUGCUCAAAGGUUUUUAAACAAAUCAAAGCUCAGGUCCCAGGAACUCUGCUCAAACAGCCCACAAAGAAACACAUUACCCAGCCACCAUUAUUUGGGCAAUGGGAUUAUGUAUACAAGUCCAGAAGUCUACAGAGUCCCAAUUCAGAUUUAUUUCCUUAAGUAAUGGACUAUUUAUCUAAGCACUUAUUAGCUGAAUAAUAAUUAGCUGAAGCGGAUGGAAGACUGUCUCACCUUAAACCACGACAGCAAGGGAAUAAAUAGUAACGAUCGCAGCAGCUGCAUACGCUAACACUUUGGGUAGAAACUUUAACUUGAGGCUCAUAUAAAGGGUUUUCUUUGUUUUAAAUUACAAGUGGAGCCAUUACCCAAAGGUGCAGUCCUCCCAAGAGAAACAAACUGAAACAAUGAGAAACCUGUAGGCAGGAAGUACUGAAGCAGGACGGUGGGUUCAAAUAUCAAAGGCCACAUUUCGUAAGGUGUAAGUCAUACCUUUCUACAUCAUAAACUGCUGUCCUCCUACUUGGAAAGGAAGUCGCCAUCUUUUCCUCCUUCCACGAGCUACUUCUGAUGAUUACUCAGUGUUUACUUGACCUAGCAAUGAGCUCUAAAGCCCUCAGCCACUCUAACACAGACAGAGCGAUUGCACGCACAGCUCUGAGUCCCGCUGCACAGCUCUGGUUGAGCAAGACUUGUCCUCCUGCACUGAGCUAACCCAGCAGAGGUGCUACCACCAGGACGUUCGAAACCUCUACCUUUUAGCGGUACUGGGGUAACCGUGGCAUGCAGAUCUUCCUCUGCUCUGUUUUUAAGCACUGUGCACUCUCAUUUAUUUGCGAAACAUUUCAAAAUAAUAUCAGUUGUUUCUGAUUGUAAUCCUUUUAUAAAUAAAUUAUGUAUGUUACUGAUGAAACAGUUCAGUUUACAAUAAUGCAGUUUAACACAAGAAAAGUUGAGCAAGUUAAGGUAUCACACUUCUUUUCACCCCAUGAAACUGCUUAGGGUGUGCAACACCCAGCUGAUUUCUGCUGUGAUAUUCACACUCUACUGUAGAGAAGCUACAGUGAGAAAAAUAAAUGAAUAUCUUUCAUUCUGAUUUGAAAUUGCUUGGAGAAGUCUGUGCAGGAAUCCAUGCUGCACAUCUGAAUUAUUCAGAUAGAGUUUAAUUGUCCACUUACUCUGUGAAAGGAAGGGAUAGCUCAUAGCGCCCUUCGUAGCUGAAAGGAAGCUAUCAACGUUGCAGGAGAAAGAAUUCAUUAUAUUCCUCCCAGUAUUUUUUAAACUUUCCUAUUCUUGAACUGAAGCAUUGACUUCUCUUGACUAUCUGUUCAGACCAUUUAUAAUCAAUGUGUGCAGAUUAAACAAGAAAUCUCUCCUUCCCGGCUGUGCAAGCACUGAUCACAAUAAGCAGUCCCUAAGACCCAUAAUUUUCAGCUUUGCAGAACUUUUGCAGUGAAGCUGUACUUAACAGACCUCAUAGUUACACAGCAGAAGGCAAUCUUUGCUCCUUUAAAAUGAACAUAGUGCUAGAAAAAAAUAAACAAACACUGUGCCAGAAGAGGUAAGAAAAAGCACUUCUCAGUUAAACUAAGAAAUCAGAGCUCAAAAGAAGUAACUAUAAUGCUAGGUUUUAUAUAAACUGGUUUAACAUAGGUUUCACUACCUAUAUGCCUUAUUGUAUAGGUUUAGCAUGAUAGACGUGAUAUCAAACGGGGUGUGAAAUGCACAGAAAUAUAAUAAUUCAACAAAUGAUAGGUAAAAUAUUUUUUUUUUUGCCUCUAUUGACAGUUGUCUUUGAAAAAACACUGCUACACAACCUUGAUAAUUAUUAGCUAAAUCUUUGCUAAAAUCUCUCUUUAAAAUGCCCUUUGGCUGUAGAAGUUUUAUGAAUUGUCCAUUGAGGAAGAAACUAGGAUGAAGAACACCCCAAUUUCAAUUCUCAGGUAUGUUAUACAUACAAUAAUGUUACAUCUAAUCAAGCACCACCAGCUUUCUUCUUGGAAAUUAUUCAUCAUCUGUUGUAGAGGUUUUCAGCAAGUGAGCUGUGGUGCUCUUAUACAGAUAUUUCCCUUAUAAAAUUAUAAUAUUUAAAGUAGUUAAAAGCCUGAUGCAAAUCUGUUGUUGCAAAUGCAUCUGAAAUUAUUCUGAAUCUGUCAGAAUAUUAGAACCAAUUGCCAUUAUUUGUAUUACACCAGCUUUCAUAAGUAUAUUUUAUAUUGCACUUCCAGGAAGCACUUGUUUACAAAGAUGGAUGGUGCCCACAUUUAUCAUAUUGAUAGUGCUUACCGUAUCUAUUUCUGUGGGUGGUUAUUAAAUAUUUUAUUUAUUGCUGCACACAGCUGAUCUGAUUGCCAUUAGUGAGACAUAUUGAUAAAGUUACUGUGGGAGACUGAUGCCGGUAACAUAUUUAAGACCGAGAAAAGCUUACUAUUUUAUGUGUACAAGUGAUACUGUAUGCAACUCUUGUUUCAUCAGUAAAAACCCAAACAGGCCUGAAUAUAAAAUGCUGUUUUCAACUUAGUCACAAGAAUGUUAAGAAUUUCUUUUUAAGAUUUCUGUGUCUUCCUUGUCCACAGGGAGCAGCAACCCUAGCAGUAUAUUGCUAAAUUCAAAGAUUGCUCUCAUAUCAUCUUAUUAAUAAAACUGUCAGUCACAACACUGGUCGUACAUUUUGCUGUAGAUUUUCUCUUUAUU
Molecule: non-coding RNA, 7561 nt
Organism: Anas platyrhynchos (mallard)
Lineage: Eukaryota; Metazoa; Chordata; Aves; Anseriformes; Anatidae
Source: RefSeq, a predicted model, not a curated record